Molecule: ribosomal RNA, 648 nt
Filed under: uncultured cyanobacterium
Lineage: Bacteria; Bacillati; Cyanobacteriota
Description: bacterial SSU rRNA
Rfam family: Bacterial small subunit ribosomal RNA
Source: RNAcentral
CUAGUGGCGGACGGGUGAGUAACGCGUGAGAAUCUGCCAAAAGGACUGGGACAACCACUGGAAACGGUGGCUAAUACCAGAUGUGCCGCAACGUAAAAGAGGAAACUCGCCUUUUGAGGAGCUCGCGUCUGAUUAGCUAGUUGGUGAGGUAAAAGCUCACCAAGGCAACGAUCAGUAGCUGGUCUGAGAGGACGACCAGCCACACUGGGACUGAGACACGGCCCAGACUCCUACGGGAGGCAGCAGUGGGGAAUUUUCCGCAAUGGGCGAAAGCCUGACGGAGCAAGACCGCGUGAGGGAGGAAGGCUCUUGGGUCGUAAACCUCUUUUGUCAGGGAAGAACACAAUGACGGUACCUGACGAAUCAGCAUCGGCUAACUCCGUGCCAGCAGCCGCGGUAAUACGGAGGAUGCAAGCGUUAUCCGGAAUUAUUGGGCGUAAAGCGUCCGUAGAUGGUUUUGCCAGUCGGCUGUCAAAGCGCAGGGCUUAACCCUGUAAAGGCAGUGGAAACUACAAGACUAGAGUGCAGUAGGGGCAGAGGGAAUUCCCAGUGUAGCGGUGAAAUGCGUAGAGAUUGGGAAGAACACCCGUGGCGAAAGCGCUCUGCUGGACUGCAACUGACAUUGAGGGACGAAAGCUAGGGGAGCGA